This 338-nucleotide unclassified non-coding RNA is filed under the name soil metagenome. Its description in RNAcentral is "partial contains 5.8S ribosomal RNA, internal transcribed spacer 2, and large subunit ribosomal RNA". The stretch from base 1 to 120 matches the Rfam family "5.8S ribosomal RNA", at positions 35 to 154 of the family's 154-position model. The record is from RNAcentral.
GAUGAAGAACGCAGCGAAAUGCGAUAAGUAAUGUGAAUUGCAGAAUUCAGUGAAUCAUCGAAUCUUUGAACGCACAUUGCGCCCGGCAGUACUCUGCCGGGCAUGCCUGUUCGAGCGUCAUUUCAACCCUCAAGCCCUGCUUGGUGUUGGGGUCCCACGGCCGCCGUGGGCCCUGAAAGGAAGUGGCGGGCUCGCUACAACUCCGAGCGUAGUAAUUCAUUAUCUCGCUUAGGGCGUUGGGCGGCGCUCCUGCCGUUAAAGAACCAUCUUUAACUCAAGGUUGACCUCGGAUCAGGUAGGAAUGCCCGCUGAACUUAAGCAUAUCAAUAAGCGGAGGA